RNAcentral lists this ribosomal RNA (465 nucleotides) under uncultured bacterium. RNAcentral's name for it is "partial 16S ribosomal RNA". It matches the Rfam family "Bacterial small subunit ribosomal RNA", at positions 28 to 507 of the family's 1533-position model. The record is from RNAcentral.
GACGAACGCUGGCGGCGUGCUUAACACAAGCAAGUCGAACGGAAAGGCCCUGCUUGCAGGGUACUCGAGUGGCGAACGGGUGAGUAACACGUGGGUGAUCUGCCCUGCACUUCGGGAUAAGCCUGGGAAACUGGGUCUAAUACCGGAUAGGAGCCAUUUUUAGUGUGAUGGUUGGAAAGUUUUUUCGGUGUAGGAUGAGCUCGCGGCCUAUCAGCUUGUUGGUGGGGUAAUGGCCUACCAAGGCGGCGACGGGUAGCCGGCCUGAGAGGGUGGACGGCCACAUUGGGACCGAGAUACGGCCCAGACUCCUACGGGAGGCAGCAGGGGGGAAUAUUGCACAAUGGGCGCAAGCCUGAUGCAGCGACGCCGCGUGGGGGAUGACGGCCUUCGGGUUGUAAACUCCUUUCGCUAGGGACGAAGCUUUUUGUGACGGUACCUAGAUAAGAAGCACCGGCUAACUACGUG